GCCUACGGGGGGCAGCAGUGGGGAAUUUUGGACAAUGGGGGCAACCCUGAUCCAGCAAUGCCGCGUGAGUGAAGAAGGCCUUCGGGUUGUAAAGCUCUUUUGUCAGGGAAGAAACGGUGCAGGCUAAUAUCCUGUGCUAAUGACGGUACCUGAAGAAUAAGCACCGGCUAACUACGUGCCAGCAGCCGCGGUAAUACGUAGGGUGCAAGCGUUAAUCGGAAUUACUGGGCGUAAAGCGUGCGCAGGCGGUUUUGUAAGACUGUCGUGAAAUCCCCGGGCUCAACCUGGGAAUGGCGAUGGUGACUGCAAGGCUAGAGUUUGGCAGAGGGGGGUAGAAUUCCACGUGUAGCAGUGAAAUGCGUAGAUAUGUGGAGGAACACCGAUGGCGAAGGCAGCCCCCUGGGUCAAAACUGACGCUCAUGCACGAAAGCGUGGGGAGCAAACAGGAUUAGAUACCCCUGUAGUCC
RNAcentral lists this ribosomal RNA (467 nucleotides) under uncultured bacterium. RNAcentral's name for it is "bacterial SSU rRNA". It matches the Rfam family "Bacterial small subunit ribosomal RNA", at positions 337 to 796 of the family's 1533-position model. The record is from RNAcentral.